AGAAUCAACGCUGGCGGCGUGCCUAACACAUGCAAGUCGAACGAGAAAGUGGAGCAAUCCAUGAGUAAAGUGGCGCACGGGGGAGUAACACGUGACUAACCUACCCUUGAGUGGGGGAUAACCUAGAGAAAUCUGGGCUAAUACCGCAUAAUACCUUCGGGUCAAAGGAGCAAUUCGCUUAAGGAGGGGGUCGCGGCCGAUUAGUUAGUUGGCGGGGUAAUGGCCCACCAAGACUGUGAUCGGUA
This 245-nucleotide ribosomal RNA is filed under the name uncultured bacterium. RNAcentral's name for it is "partial small subunit ribosomal RNA". It matches the Rfam family "Bacterial small subunit ribosomal RNA", at positions 26 to 285 of the family's 1533-position model. The record is from RNAcentral.